AGAGAGAGAGAGAGAGAGAGAGAGCGAGCGAGCAAGCGAGUCGAAAAUGGCGAUAUCGGGAGAUCUCAGGGUCUCUGCAACACUGGCCUCUUACAACAAGCACCCUCUUCGAAGCUCUUUGCCUACUUCAAAUUCAAAGGUAGAGUUCAUCGGUUUCCCUGGUCGAGGAUCUGGAACAACCCCAAACACACACAAGUGGCCUGG
RNAcentral lists this unclassified non-coding RNA (204 nucleotides) under Hevea brasiliensis (rubber tree). Lineage: Eukaryota; Viridiplantae; Streptophyta; Magnoliopsida; Malpighiales; Euphorbiaceae. The record is from RNAcentral.